Molecule: long non-coding RNA, 2029 nt
Organism: Vespula vulgaris
Lineage: Eukaryota; Metazoa; Arthropoda; Insecta; Hymenoptera; Vespidae
Exons: 3
Source: RefSeq, a predicted model, not a curated record
UCUUUAAGACCGAGUAUGUCACCUUCAAGAAGCAAAAUCAUACUGCGAGAGAAUGAAACGGAGAAGGGCCAGCGUACGCAACGCGCAUGUCCCUCGUGGAAGGAACCCCGUACAAAACAGGGAAAGGGAAAAAAGAAUAAACAACGUAAAGAGAAAAUGAUAAGUAAUUACUUAAUAACUACAAAGAAAGAGUCCUUCAGUUAUGUAUAGUAAACGUAAAAGGGGAGAAACGUAUGAUAGGGUAUAGAUUUUACAUAAAUUAUUUCUAUCACUUGGAUACAAUUUUUCAUACGUAUUUCUAGGUUUGUUAUUUUAAGAAUUUAUCAACAGGAAUAAUUAGAAUGCAUGAUACAGGAAAGAAUAUGGGGUUGAAGUCACUGAGAGUCAAUGACUCGUAAGAAGUAUCAGUAUGGCUUCGCAAGAGCAGUAUUUCGAAAAUAAGUACUAUACUUACAAUUUUCAAUUUUUCAAAUUAAUAGGAAUUUGGCGUUAUGAUAUGUCGCUACAGCAAUUGAUAUACAUUUGUGUUUUAAACUUUACGAUAGCCGUUGGAUCGCUUUUACAGGUAAGACUUAUCCUGAUGCGUGAUUAUAUUAAUAUAUGAUUACAAUGAAUGAAAUAAUAAUUUUAACUAAAACGACAGAAUAUUAAAUAUAACUAGUUCGACUUUAGAUUUAUUUGCUCUUCAUGUCAGAAGCGAAGAUAGUUCCCAUCAUCAAAUUAGUGGAAACAAUUCUACCUUCUUUAUGCUUCGCAGCUUGUUACUACAACAUAUUGUCGAAUACUACAAUUGUUCGUACUUGGCUCAAAUAUUUUAUUUAGAAUCAGAAGAGAUAAAGACGCAUAUUAGAAAAAAUUUUAUAUCGUAAAACUUUCAGAUGAAAAGGAUUUUGUAUCAUAUCAAAUGCGAUUGGGAUAAUCUGGCACACAAACCGGAAUUAAUAAUUUUAAAAGAAUAUGCUAAUCGUACAAGAAUGUACACAAUAACAAUCGCAAGUGAAAAAAGAAAUAAAAAUAUAUUAUUAAAGUGUUAAAAAAUUAUAAUGCUACACUAGAAAAAGAUAAUUAAUUGUUUCUACUAUUUCAGUCGCAUUUUAUCUAUAUAUCAUUUCUUUGAUAUUACCAUCCACUGUACGUAUCUUUCUACAUAAUUUUGAUGAAGCGAACGAAACCGGAUUAACCUUGCCAAUUGGUCUUGAUAAUUUUAUGAAAGAUCAAAUGAAUUACUAUUUGACACUUUUAUUGGAAUGCGUUUUCAUAUUCAUCAUAAGCACGAUAGGAAUUGCACACUACUCUAUGUUUGUAUUAAUUGUACAACAUACCUUUGCACUAUUUAAUAUAAUCGCUACGAAGAUAGAGAAAGGAUUUGAAUGUAAUACGGAUAAAUUGAAUGAUGCCAAUAAUUGUAAUAAAUUCGCACAGGAGUACAAAUGGCUCGUCGAUAUCAUAGAGUCGUAUGAUAACGCCAUUCAGUUUGUAUCAAAUUUUACAAGCCUAUUCUCUUUAUAAUUUAUACACAAAAGUACUAAUCGUUAAUAUUAAUAUUAUUGCUUAUCCUUCUUAUUAUUGCAUAUUUUCAAGAUUUGCAGAUUUAAUGAAGUUGUAUCUUGAAAAAAUUUAUCCGUUCGAAGUGUUCAUGUCGCUACUGUUUAUCAUCGUAAAUUACAUUUAUGUAAAUAAUUGAUAUAGAAAAAAUUUUGGAUCUUUUAUUUGCGAAAUUAAAGAGGCAUAAAUUUUCUUUCCAGUUGUUUCAGUUACUUUCUUAUAUGACGAAUACGAAUGAAGGAUUGCAAAAAUGUAUUUAUAUUAUCGGAUCUAUGUUCGUAAUAUAUAUAUACAAUUAUCUGGGACAAAAGUUAAUAGACUACCAUACAGAAAUAUACAUAAAAUUAUGCCAAAUUCCAUUUUACUCCUUAUCGUUGAAGACGCAAAAAAUAUUACUCUUUUUCAUAAUGAAGAGCACGGUGCCAUGCAAUUUAUCUAUGAAAGGAAUAAUCGUAUUAUCCCAUUAUCAUUUUGGCUCGGUAAA